This 253-nucleotide ribosomal RNA is filed under the name uncultured bacterium. RNAcentral's name for it is "partial 16S ribosomal RNA". It matches the Rfam family "Bacterial small subunit ribosomal RNA", at positions 524 to 776 of the family's 1533-position model. The record is from RNAcentral.
UACGUAGGCAGCAAGCGUUGUUCGGAAUUACUGGGCGUAAAGCGUGUGUAGGCGGUUGGGUAAGUCUGGUGUGAAAUCUCCCGGCUCAACUGGGAGGGUGCGCCGGGAACUGCCUGGCUGGAGUGCGGAAGAGGAGAGUGGAAUUCCCGGUGUAGCGGUGAAAUGCGUAGAUAUCGGGAAGAACACCCGUGGCGAAGGCGGCUCUCUGGGACGGUACUGACGCUGAGACGCGAAAGCGUGGGGAGCGAACAGG